This 76-nucleotide transfer RNA is filed under the name Camelus ferus (Wild Bactrian camel). It matches the Rfam family "tRNA". From Rfam's summary of the family: Transfer RNA (tRNA) molecules are approximately 80 nucleotides in length. The record is from Rfam by way of RNAcentral. Lineage: Eukaryota; Metazoa; Chordata; Mammalia; Artiodactyla; Camelidae.
GAGGGUAUAGCUUAGUGGUAGAGUGCAUGCCUAGCAAGCAUGCAUAAGGUCCUGGAUUCAAUUCCCAAUGCCUCCG